UUGCAAUUAUAGUUUUUGUGCAGGGACAACCGUCUCUACAAAAUUACUUAGAAAAUUUGAAAAAUCUACAAAACUCAGAUCAGUUAGGUCAAAUUCAAAAACAAAUAGGAGAGGCAUUAUCAAAUGGAAUCUUAAAUAGGGAUCAACUAAGGCAAAUCCAACGACAAUUGGGAGAAUCAUUAGCAAAUGGAGCAAAUAAACUAUCAGAGGAAGUACAAAGGCAAUUAUCAACAUUCAUAAGUGCACUACAAGCCAGGAAUAAUUAAAUAUUGUUUUAAUUAUAUGCAUUUUAAAUGUCG
Long non-coding RNA from Aethina tumida (small hive beetle), 299 nucleotides. RefSeq lists it as uncharacterized. Lineage: Eukaryota; Metazoa; Arthropoda; Insecta; Coleoptera; Nitidulidae. The record is from RefSeq and is a predicted model, not a curated record. The transcript has 4 exons.